AGCUUUGCACAGUGGCAGUAUUGUAGCCAAUGAGGUUAAUCCGAGGCGCGAUUAUUGCUAAUUGAAAACUCUUGUAGUACCUUUUAACAUAUGGUAGGUACUCAAAAGGUACUUGUCAAACCAAAUCGAAUGUGCAUAUUGUUUCCAGUCAAGGUGGACAGAAUAUCUUUUACUCCAUAGAAAUGA
This 186-nucleotide small nuclear RNA is filed under the name Suricata suricatta (meerkat). Its description in RNAcentral is "U4 spliceosomal RNA (ENSSSUG00005023047.1)". The stretch from base 1 to 112 matches the Rfam family "U4 spliceosomal RNA". From Rfam's summary of the family: U4 small nuclear RNA (U4 snRNA) is a component of the major U2-dependent spliceosome. The structure of U4 snRNA from yeast and human has been reported. The record is from RNAcentral. Lineage: Eukaryota; Metazoa; Chordata; Mammalia; Carnivora; Herpestidae.